GGGUUUCUCCGUUGUUUGAAGGCCGAUCUUCUCCGGUCGCGAAGAAGGAGGGUAACUCUGUCCUUAUCUUCGGCAUUAUAUGUGAUUAUUUGACUCUGUUCUUGUGAGCAUCUGGUGUUGUUUGUGAAUAUUUGACCUGACUGUAGUCUGUUUGUUGGUUGUUGUGUUUGAAUACCUGUUUUGGUAGUAUUAUGUUUGUUGAAAAGUUGUUCAUUUAAGCCGGUUCUUUAACUAUGGCUUCUAGCACAAACAUUGGUCCCUCUCCUGCUGUAGACUCUUCUAAUCCCCUUUUUGUGUACUCGUCUGAUGUCCCUGGGGUAUCACUUGUUCCUACUCCCUUCUCGGGUAGUUGUUAUNNNNN
This 361-nucleotide long non-coding RNA is filed under the name Nicotiana benthamiana. RNAcentral describes it as "long non-coding RNA (NBEN_LNC013008)". The record is from RNAcentral. Lineage: Eukaryota; Viridiplantae; Streptophyta; Magnoliopsida; Solanales; Solanaceae.